RNAcentral lists this ribosomal RNA (391 nucleotides) under Pantoea sp. LGI-P1D. Its description in RNAcentral is "bacterial SSU rRNA". It matches the Rfam family "Bacterial small subunit ribosomal RNA", at positions 1011 to 1387 of the family's 1533-position model. Lineage: Bacteria; Pseudomonadati; Pseudomonadota; Gammaproteobacteria; Enterobacterales; Erwiniaceae. The record is from RNAcentral.
UUGNUGCCUUCGCGGAACUCUGGAGAACACCGAUGCUGCNAUAGGCUGUCUGUCAGACUCGUGNUUGUGAAAUGUUGGGUUUAGUUCCCGNCAAGAAGGNCAACCCUUUAUCCUUUUGUGGCAGCGGUCCGGCCGGGAACUCAAAGUGAGUACUGCCAGUGAUAAACUGGAGGAAGGUGGGGAUGACGUCAAGUCAUCAUGGCCCUUACGAGUAGGGCUACACACGUGCUACAAUGGCGCAUACANAGAGAAGCGAACUCGCGAGAGCAAGCGGACCUCAUAAAGUGCGUCGUAUCCGGAUUGGAGUCUGCAACUCGACUCCAUGAAGUCGGAAUCGCUAGUAAUCGUAGAUCAGAAUGCUCACGGUGAAUACUUCCCCGGGUCUGGUACA